UACGGAGGGGGCUAGCGUUGUUCGGAAUUACUGGGCGUAAAGCGCACGUAGGCGGCUUUGUAAGUUAGAGGUGAAAGCCCAGGGCUCAACCCUGGAAUUGCCUUUAAGACUGCAUCGCUUGAACAUCGGAGAGGUAAGUGAAAUUCCGAGUGUAGAGGUGAAAUUCGUAGAUAUUAGGAAGAACACCAGUGGCGAAGGCGGCUCACUGGUCCGGUACUGACGCUGAGGUGCGAAAGCGUGGGGAGCAAACAGG
Molecule: ribosomal RNA, 253 nt
Filed under: uncultured bacterium
Lineage: Bacteria
Description: partial 16S ribosomal RNA
Rfam family: Bacterial small subunit ribosomal RNA
Source: RNAcentral